UUUAGUGAUGAUAGCGAAGAGGUUUCACCUGAUUCCAUUCCGAACUCAGAAGUUAAGCUCUUCAGCGCUGACGAUAGUUGGCUUUGCGCCUGCGAAAAUAGGACGUUGCUAAAU
Molecule: ribosomal RNA, 114 nt
Organism: Firmicutes bacterium M10-2
Lineage: Bacteria; Bacillati; Bacillota
Source: Rfam